Molecule: ribosomal RNA, 253 nt
Filed under: uncultured bacterium
Lineage: Bacteria
Description: partial 16S ribosomal RNA
Rfam family: Bacterial small subunit ribosomal RNA
Source: RNAcentral
AACGUAGGUGGCAAGCGUUAUCCGGAUUUACUGGGCGUAAAGCGUGUGCAGGCGGGUAUCCAAGUGGUGUAUGAAAUCGCUCGGCUCAACCGGGCGGGGUUAUGCCAGACUGGAGACCUUGAGGCUGGAAGAGGGACAUGGAAUUCCGGGUGUAGUGGUGAAAUGCGUAGAGAUCCGGAGGAACUCCAGAGGCGAAGGCGGUGUCCUAGGCCAGACCUGACGCUCAGACACGAGAGCAUGGGGAGCGAACGGG